AUUGAACGCUGGCUGCAGGCCUAACACAUGCAAGUCGAGCGGAGCGGCGGACGGGUGAGUAAUGCCUAGGAAUCUGCCUGGUAGUGGGGGAUCAAGUCCGGAAACGGGCGCUAAUACCGCAUACUAUCAGAUGACCCUAGGUGGGAUUAGCUAGUGUGUGGGGUAAAGGCCUACCAAGGCGACGAUCAGUAACUGGUCUGAGAGGAUGAUCAGCCACACGGGAAAUGAGACACGGUCCAGACUCCGACGGGAGGCAGCAGGGGGUAAUAUUGGACAAUGGGCGAAAGCCUGAUCCAGCCAUGCCGCGUGUGUGAAGAAGGUCUUCGGAUUGUAAAGCACUUUAAGUUGGGAGGCGUUACCUACAGAAUAAGCACCGGCUAACUUCGUGCCAGCAGCCGCGGUAAUUC
RNAcentral lists this ribosomal RNA (407 nucleotides) under uncultured bacterium. RNAcentral describes it as "partial 16S ribosomal RNA". It matches the Rfam family "Bacterial small subunit ribosomal RNA", at positions 30 to 526 of the family's 1533-position model. The record is from RNAcentral.